RNAcentral lists this ribosomal RNA (2915 nucleotides) under Pseudomonas sp. R32. RNAcentral describes it as "23S ribosomal RNA". It matches the Rfam family "Bacterial large subunit ribosomal RNA". Lineage: Bacteria; Pseudomonadati; Pseudomonadota; Gammaproteobacteria; Pseudomonadales; Pseudomonadaceae. The record is from RNAcentral.
GUUAUAUGGUCAAGUGAAGAAGCGCAUACGGUGGAUGCCUUGGCAGUCAGAGGCGAUGAAAGACGUGGUAGCCUGCGAUAAGCUUCGGGGAGUCGGCAAACAGACUUUGAUCCGGAGAUCUCUGAAUGGGGGAACCCACUCAGCAUAAGCUGAGUAUCUUGUACUGAAUACAUAGGUGCAAGAGGCGAACCAGGGGAACUGAAACAUCUAAGUACCCUGAGGAAAAGAAAUCAACCGAGAUUCCCUUAGUAGUGGCGAGCGAACGGGGACUAGCCCUUAAGUGGCUUUGAGAUUAGCGGAACGCUCUGGAAAGUGCGGCCAUAGUGGGUGAUAGCCCUGUACGCGAAAAUCUCUUAGUCAUGAAAUCGAGUAGGACGGAGCACGAGAAACUUUGUCUGAAUAUGGGGGGACCAUCCUCCAAGGCUAAAUACUACUGACUGACCGAUAGUGAACCAGUACCGUGAGGGAAAGGCGAAAAGAACCCCGGAGAGGGGAGUGAAAUAGAACCUGAAACCGUAUGCGUACAAGCAGUGGGAGCCUACUUUGUUAGGUGACUGCGUACCUUUUGUAUAAUGGGUCAGCGACUUAUAUUCAGUGGCGAGCUUAACCGAAUAGGGGAGGCGUAGCGAAAGCGAGUCUUAAUAGGGCGUUUAGUCGCUGGGUAUAGACCCGAAACCGGGCGAUCUAUCCAUGGGCAGGUUGAAGGUUAGGUAACACUGACUGGAGGACCGAACCGACUACCGUUGAAAAGUUAGCGGAUGACCUGUGGAUCGGAGUGAAAGGCUAAUCAAGCUCGGAGAUAGCUGGUUCUCCUCGAAAGCUAUUUAGGUAGCGCCUCAUGUAUCACUGUAGGGGGUAGAGCACUGUUUCGGCUAGGGGGUCAUCCCGACUUACCAAACCGAUGCAAACUCCGAAUACCUACAAGUGCCGAGCAUGGGAGACACACGGCGGGUGCUAACGUCCGUCGUGAAAAGGGAAACAACCCAGACCGUCAGCUAAGGUCCCAAAGUUAUGGUUAAGUGGGAAACGAUGUGGGAAGGCUUAGACAGCUAGGAGGUUGGCUUAGAAGCAGCCACCCUUUAAAGAAAGCGUAAUAGCUCACUAGUCGAGUCGGCCUGCGCGGAAGAUGUAACGGGGCUCAAACCAUACACCGAAGCUACGGGUAUCACUUAGGUGAUGCGGUAGAGGAGCGUUCUGUAAGCCUGUGAAGGUGAGUUGAGAAGCUUGCUGGAGGUAUCAGAAGUGCGAAUGCUGACAUGAGUAACGACAAUGGGAGUGAAAAACUCCCACGCCGAAAGACCAAGGUUUCCUGCGCAACGUUAAUCGACGCAGGGUUAGUCGGUCCCUAAGGCGAGGCUGAAAAGCGUAGUCGAUGGAAAACAGGUUAAUAUUCCUGUACUUCUAGUUAUUGCGAUGGAGGGACGGAGAAGGCUAGGCCAGCUUGGCGUUGGUUGUCCAAGUUUAAGGUGGUAGGCUGAGAUCUUAGGUAAAUCCGGGAUCUUAAGGCCGAGAGCUGAUGACGAGUUGCCAUUAGGCGACGAAGUGGUUGAUGCCAUGCUUCCAAGAAAAGCUUCUAAGCUUCAGAUAACUAGGAACCGUACCCCAAACCGACACAGGUGGUUGGGUAGAGAAUACCAAGGCGCUUGAGAGAACUCGGGUGAAGGAACUAGGCAAAAUGGCACCGUAACUUCGGGAGAAGGUGCGCCGGUGAGGGUGAAGGACUUGCUCCGUAAGCCCAUGCCGGUCGAAGAUACCAGGCCGCUGCGACUGUUUAUUAAAAACACAGCACUCUGCAAACACGAAAGUGGACGUAUAGGGUGUGACGCCUGCCCGGUGCCGGAAGGUUAAUUGAUGGGGUUAGCUAACGCGAAGCUCUUGAUCGAAGCCCCGGUAAACGGCGGCCGUAACUAUAACGGUCCUAAGGUAGCGAAAUUCCUUGUCGGGUAAGUUCCGACCUGCACGAAUGGCGUAACGAUGGCGGCGCUGUCUCCACCCGAGACUCAGUGAAAUUGAAAUCGCUGUGAAGAUGCAGUGUAUCCGCGGCUAGACGGAAAGACCCCGUGAACCUUUACUAUAGCUUUGCACUGGACUUUGAAUUUGCUUGUGUAGGAUAGGUGGGAGGCUUUGAAGCGUGGACGCCAGUUCGCGUGGAGCCAUCCUUGAAAUACCACCCUGGCAACUUUGAGGUUCUAACUCAGGUCCGUUAUCCGGAUCGAGGACAGUGUAUGGUGGGUAGUUUGACUGGGGCGGUCUCCUCCUAAAGAGUAACGGAGGAGUACGAAGGUGCGCUCAGACCGGUCGGAAAUCGGUCGUAGAGUAUAAAGGCAAAAGCGCGCUUGACUGCGAGACAGACACGUCGAGCAGGUACGAAAGUAGGUCUUAGUGAUCCGGUGGUUCUGUAUGGAAGGGCCAUCGCUCAACGGAUAAAAGGUACUCCGGGGAUAACAGGCUGAUACCGCCCAAGAGUUCAUAUCGACGGCGGUGUUUGGCACCUCGAUGUCGGCUCAUCACAUCCUGGGGCUGAAGCCGGUCCCAAGGGUAUGGCUGUUCGCCAUUUAAAGUGGUACGCGAGCUGGGUUUAGAACGUCGUGAGACAGUUCGGUCCCUAUCUGCCGUGGACGUUUGAGAUUUGAGAGGGGCUGCUCCUAGUACGAGAGGACCGGAGUGGACGAACCUCUGGUGUUCCGGUUGUCACGCCAGUGGCAUUGCCGGGUAGCUAUGUUCGGAAGAGAUAACCGCUGAAAGCAUCUAAGCGGGAAACUUGCCUCAAGAUGAGAUCUCACUGGAGCCUUGAGCUCCCUGAAGGGCCGUCGAAGACUACGACGUUGAUAGGUUGGGUGUGUAAGCGCUGUGAGGCGUUGAGCUAACCAAUACUAAUUGCCCGUGAGGCUUGACCAUAUAACACCCAAGCAAUU